RNAcentral lists this ribosomal RNA (253 nucleotides) under uncultured bacterium. RNAcentral's name for it is "partial 16S ribosomal RNA". It matches the Rfam family "Bacterial small subunit ribosomal RNA", at positions 524 to 776 of the family's 1533-position model. The record is from RNAcentral.
UACGAAGGGGACUAGCGUUGUUCGGAAUCACUGGGCGUAAAGCGCACGUAGGCGGAUGUGUCAGUCAGGGGUGAAAUCCCGGGGCUCAACCUCGGAACUGCCUUUGAUACAGCACGUCUCGAGUCCGGAAGAGGUGGGUGGAAUUCCUAGUGUAGAGGUGAAAUUCGUAGAUAUUAGGAAGAACACCGGUGGCGAAGGCGGCCCACUGGUCCGGUACUGACGCUGAGGUGCGAAGGCGUGGGGAGCAAACAGG